This 467-nucleotide ribosomal RNA is filed under the name uncultured bacterium. Its description in RNAcentral is "partial 16S ribosomal RNA". It matches the Rfam family "Bacterial small subunit ribosomal RNA", at positions 28 to 507 of the family's 1533-position model. The record is from RNAcentral.
GACGAACGCUGGCGGCGUGCUUAACACAAGCAAGUCGAACGGAAAGGCCUCUUUCGGGGGGUACUCGAGUGGCGAACGGGUGAGUAACACGUGAGUAACCUGCCCUUGACUUUGGGAUAACUUCAGGAAACUGGGGCUAAUACCGGAUAGGAGCUCCUGCUGCAUGGUGGGGGUUGGAAAGUUUCGGCGGUUGGGGAUGGACUCGCGGCUUAUCAGCUUGUUGGUGGGGUAGUGGCUUACCAAGGCUUUGACGGGUAGCCGGCCUGAGAGGGUGACCGGCCACAUUGGGACUGAGAUACGGCCCAGACUCCUACGGGAGGCAGCAGUGGGGAAUAUUGCACAAUGGGUGGAAGCCUGAUGCAGCAACGCCGUGUGCGGGAGGACGGCCUUCGGGUUGUAAACCGCUUUCGCUCAUGACGAAGCUUUGUGUGACGGUAGUGGGUAAAGAAGCACCGGCUAACUACGUG